RNAcentral lists this ribosomal RNA (253 nucleotides) under uncultured bacterium. RNAcentral's name for it is "partial 16S ribosomal RNA". It matches the Rfam family "Bacterial small subunit ribosomal RNA", at positions 524 to 776 of the family's 1533-position model. The record is from RNAcentral.
UACAGAGACUGCAAGCGUUAUUCGGAUUCACUGGGCGUAAAGGGUGCGCAGGCGGCCUAUUGUGUUAGGCGUGAAAGCCUGAGGCUCAACCUCAGAAUCGCACCUAAAACUACACGGCUAGAGCAUUGGAGAGGGUAGCGGAAUUCACGGUGUAGCAGUGAAAUGCGUAGAUAUCGUGAGGAACACCAGAGGCGAAGGCGGCUACCUGGACAAUUGCUGACGCUGAGGCACGAAAGCGUGGGGAGCAAAAGGG